ACGAACGCUGGCGGCGUGCUUAAUACAUGCAAGUCGAACGGAAAGACCCUGCUUUUGUGGGGUGCUCGAGUGGCGAACGGGUGAGUAACACGUGAGUAACCUGCCCUUGACUUUGGGAUAACUUCAGGAAACUGGGGCUAAUACCGGAUAGGAGCUCCUGCUGCAUGGUGGGGGUUGGAAAGUUUCGGCGGUUGGGGAUGGACUCGCGGCUUAUCAGCUUGUUGGUGGGGUAGUGGCUUACCAAGGCUUUGACGGGUAGCCGGCCUGAGAGGGUGACCGGCCACAUUGGGACUGAGAUACGGCCCAGACUCCUACGGGAGGCAGCAGUGGGGAAUAUUGCACAAUGGGCGGAAGCCUGAUGCAGCAACGCCGCGUGCGGGAUGACGGCCUUCGGGUUGUAAACCGCUUUCGCCUGUGACGAAGCGUGAGUGACGGUAAUGGGUAAAGAAGCACCGGCUAACUACGUG
Molecule: ribosomal RNA, 467 nt
Filed under: uncultured bacterium
Lineage: Bacteria
Description: partial 16S ribosomal RNA
Rfam family: Bacterial small subunit ribosomal RNA
Source: RNAcentral